CAGACAGCAGGCAGGAGGCAGGAAUGGGCUCUGGCAAGAGCCCGAGGACAGCAAGUUUCAACAGGGUAUUUUUUGAAGAGAUUGUUGGCGACAUUAUCUUAUUAAGUUACAGCAAGAUCAUCCUUCCAAAUCUCUUUUCUCUAACUGCCCUUGUCACCUUACUAGCUGAGAAAAAGGAGAUCAAAAAGCAACAUGAAUAUGUAAAAAGUUGAAACAUUCUGUGUCCGAGGAUUCCAUUUGGACACUUAGGAAGAAGAGCACUCUGGCAGAACUGGGCCACAGGAAGCAGAGAGCUAGCUUGGCAUCUCUCUGACAUAUUCUGUCUCUCGGUCUCCUUUUCCUUUC
Molecule: long non-coding RNA, 345 nt
Organism: Bubalus bubalis (water buffalo)
Lineage: Eukaryota; Metazoa; Chordata; Mammalia; Artiodactyla; Bovidae
Exons: 3
Source: RefSeq, a predicted model, not a curated record